GAAUAAGAGACGUAUCUCAAUUGUGAAGGGCAUUGUUAUCACAAGACCUAAUGCUGGACUAAAUACUACGUUUAGAUUAAGGAGGCUAGUGGCAGGGGUUGGAGUCGAAUCCCUCUUCCCGCUGUACUCGCCUAACAUAAAGGAAAUAAAGGUGCUGGACAAGAAGAAAGUGAGGCGUGCCAAGCUUUACUAUCUCAGAGACAAGAUGAAUGCACUUAAGAAAUAGUAGAAAGAAAUAGUUAGUGCAACUUUGAUUAUCCAUUCGAUUUAUUGAGAAAGUUGACAUAGACAUGCUGGUGAUAAAAAUGAGAG
RNAcentral lists this unclassified non-coding RNA (312 nucleotides) under Hevea brasiliensis (rubber tree). The record is from RNAcentral. Lineage: Eukaryota; Viridiplantae; Streptophyta; Magnoliopsida; Malpighiales; Euphorbiaceae.